GACUCUCGGCAACGGAUAUCUCGGCUCUCGCAUCGAUGAAGAACGUAGCGAAAUGCGAUACUUGGUGUGAAUUGCAGAAUCCCGUGAACCAUCGAGUCUUUGAACGCAAGUUGCGCCCCACGCCAUUAGGCCGAGGGCACGUCUGCCUGGGUGUCA
This 156-nucleotide ribosomal RNA is filed under the name Gossypium arboreum. RNAcentral's name for it is "5.8S ribosomal RNA". It matches the Rfam family "5.8S ribosomal RNA". From Rfam's summary of the family: 5.8S ribosomal RNA (5.8S rRNA) is a component of the large subunit of the eukaryotic ribosome. The record is from Rfam by way of RNAcentral. Lineage: Eukaryota; Viridiplantae; Streptophyta; Magnoliopsida; Malvales; Malvaceae.